Anas platyrhynchos (mallard) is the source of this 1316-nucleotide long non-coding RNA. RefSeq lists it as uncharacterized. The record is from RefSeq and is a predicted model, not a curated record. NCBI's taxonomy places the organism in Eukaryota, Metazoa, Chordata, Aves, Anseriformes, Anatidae.
GUGGGUUAAGGGGCGUGUUGGAGGCUGUCCAGCCAGAGUGGUGGCACCUCGUUAGGGAGAAUGUUAAUUUAGGAUUAAGUCAGAAGAGCUCGAAUGAAGUAAGAGCAGCCUGUAGGGACAGCGUGUGAGAGGCAGGGGAAGGAAGGGGAGGACUGGCUUCAUUAGCAGGCUGCAGGGAAAUGUAAUAAGCAAGCCGCCGGCCAUAGGUAGGAAAGCACAGACAGAAGAAAGAUGAUGAAAUGUGUAAGGUAAGCCUGACUUUAAGGGUUAUUAAGGUUAAUGAACUCCAUCAUCUGAAGAAAGGAAUGAGCUGUUUUGAAGGAUGAGAUUAAAGAAAGCCCUGUUGCAGACUAAGACAGAUGACUUUCGGUGCUGCAUCUUGAGUAGACUGAAAUCUUGAAUGACCCUCAAACCAGACACUGAAGCAAUUAAGAAGGGGGAGUGAUGGGGGUAACAGCAACACCGUGUUUGGCUAUGGCCGCAGAGGUCAUGAAGAUGUUGCUGUCAUCCCCUCAUGCUGCACAGAUCAUGUUGCGCAGAGGAGCCAGGGAAGCUGACGGGAGGUUUCCGUGACACAGAGGAAUGCAAAGAGAAACACUCAUCACAUCUGAGGUGCUGUCUGUACUUUUGUUUGAUCCUCUGAUUGGGUAUCAUACAUGGGUAAAAAUGUGGCAUCCGUAUCCUUUCCAGCACUGACCUUGAUACCUACUCAUACAACUUCAAAAGUACGCUGUAUUAGCAGAACUGCUUUGGCCCUUUCUCAUCCACCUUUGGAGAUGAGCAAGCUGUCUGCAGUCGAGAGAAAAUCCUGGGACUUCACUGCUGUCAGCUUCUGAACUUUUCUGUGUGCCCACAAAGUUCCUGCCCUCAGAGGUUUCAAGUCCUUCCUAAACUGAAGAGAUUUCCAUAAUAAUAUGGUAGAUCAAGGGGAGGCAGUGGAUGAAAAAGCAAGGAUGAGGCAGGGCAUGGUGGAGAGGAACUUUGUAGCUAUCCAUGAGUGCAGAAAUUAGGAUUAGCAUAGAGUGCAGAGGGGGAAUGCAAAUACUUGUGUUUUGGUGUUGUAAAUCUGAAUUCUUAACUUUGAAGUAUCCUUCACCAUUGAAACGAUCCUGUGCCAUUUAUCAUCUGCAAACCAUUGCAAUGAGGGCAAACAAGAGAUGGGCAAAACUGACUUUACGAUUAUUUCUUUCUCAAUGUAAUAAACCCAAAUGAACCUGGAGUGGUAUUUUUGUAGUCUCGAAGCUGCCAGUACAACACUGUGUCUCUGAAAGAGAUAGGGUGAAAAAAAAAAAUAAAGUAGCAAGCUGUUCUUCCUA